GACGAACCGAGCGAACGUUGGUCGGGAUCACUGGGCUUAAAGGGCGCGUAGGCGGGCGUCCAAGUCAGGGGUGAAAUCUUUCGGCCUAACCGGAAAAGUGCCCCUGAUACUGGACAUCUCGAGGGAGGAAGGGGCGUGUGGAACUUUCGGUGGAGCGGUGAAAUGCGUAGAUAUCGGAAGGAACGCCGGUGGCGAAAGCGACGCGCUGGACCUCUUCUGACGCUGAGGCGCGAAAGCCAGGGGAGCAAACGUG
Molecule: ribosomal RNA, 253 nt
Filed under: uncultured bacterium
Lineage: Bacteria
Description: partial 16S ribosomal RNA
Rfam family: Bacterial small subunit ribosomal RNA
Source: RNAcentral